This 45-nucleotide non-coding RNA is filed under the name Schistosoma japonicum. RNAcentral also lists the same sequence under 1 other name. Lineage: Eukaryota; Metazoa; Platyhelminthes; Trematoda; Strigeidida; Schistosomatidae. The record is from RNAcentral.
AUCCAGCCGAUGAGUCCCAAAUAGGACGAAAUGCGCAUCCUGGAU